This 351-nucleotide small nuclear RNA is filed under the name Mus caroli (Ryukyu mouse). RNAcentral describes it as "sRNA (MGP_CAROLIEiJ_G0008881.1)". The stretch from base 1 to 277 matches the Rfam family "7SK RNA". Rfam says of the family: 7SK was discovered as an abundant small nuclear RNA in the mid-70s but a possible function has only recently been suggested. Two independent studies have found that 7SK RNA binds the CDK9/cyclin T complex (known as elongation factor P-TEFb). The record is from RNAcentral. Lineage: Eukaryota; Metazoa; Chordata; Mammalia; Rodentia; Muridae.
AGAUGUCCAAGUGAUCUGGCUGUGAAAUCUGUCACGGCGCUGAGUGGCAGGGUUGGUUUGGCUGAUCUUGUUCGGCUAGGUGGGUGGCCCCUUUCUCCCUCACCACUCCAUGCACGUGCCUCCAGAAGUUGGGUGUGAUGUUGAAGAAAGCAACCUUCCCUGAACAGAAGAACACAUCUUCCAUCAAAGGUACAUGGAUAGCUGUGCUCUCUCCUGCUACAGCCUCCAAACAAGUUAUCAAAAAUGCAAAGGUAUUAGGCGAGUUUUACCCCCAGGGCGGGGAGGGGGAGGAGGUAGGCUGUAUGGUCAGCAGAUGAUAAAGCUGGCUGUGGAGAUCAGAGCCAGCUCUAG